UACGAAGGGGGCUAGCGUUGCUCGGAAUCACUGGGCGUAAAGCGCACGCAGGCGGAUCGUUAAGUCAGGGGUGAAAUCCUGGAGCUCAACUCCAGAACUGCCUUUGAUACUGAAGAUCUUGAGUUCGGGAGAGGUGAGUGGAACUGCGAGUGUAGAGGUGAAAUUCGUAGAUAUUCGCAAGAACACCAGUGGCGAAGGCGGCUCACUGGCCCGAUACUGACGCUGAGGCACGAAAGCGUGGGGAGCAAACAGG
RNAcentral lists this ribosomal RNA (253 nucleotides) under uncultured bacterium. Its description in RNAcentral is "partial 16S ribosomal RNA". It matches the Rfam family "Bacterial small subunit ribosomal RNA", at positions 524 to 776 of the family's 1533-position model. The record is from RNAcentral.